CCUACGGGAGACAGCAGUGAGGAAUAUUGGUCAAUGGGCGCGAGCCUGAACCAGCCAAGUAGCGUGAAGGAUGACUGCCCUACGGGUUGUAAACUUCUUUUAUAAAGGAAUAAAGUGCGGCACGUGUGCCUUUUUGUAUGUACUUCAUGAAUAAGGAUCGGCUAACUCCGUGCCAGCAGCCGCGGUAAUACGGAGGAUCCGAGCGUUAUCCGGAGUUAUUGGGUGUAAAGGGAGCGUAGAUGGGUUGUUAAGUCAGUUGUGAAAGUUUGCGGCUCAACCGUAAAAUUGCAAUUGAUACUGGCAGCCUUGAGUACAGGUGAGGUAGGUGGAAUUCGUGGUGUAGCGGUGAAAUGCUUAGAGAUCACGAAGAACUCCGAUUGCGAAGGCAGCUUACUAAACUGCCACUGACAUUGAUGCGCGAAAGUGUGGGUAUCAAACAGGAUUAGAUACCCCGGUAGUC
Molecule: ribosomal RNA, 460 nt
Filed under: uncultured bacterium
Lineage: Bacteria
Description: partial 16S ribosomal RNA
Rfam family: Bacterial small subunit ribosomal RNA
Source: RNAcentral